Molecule: long non-coding RNA, 511 nt
Filed under: Ananas comosus (pineapple)
Lineage: Eukaryota; Viridiplantae; Streptophyta; Magnoliopsida; Poales; Bromeliaceae
Description: long non-coding RNA (ACOM_LNC018330)
Source: RNAcentral
UUUUAAAAUUUAGCCUUAAAAAUAAAAAAAUAAAAUUAUUAAAUUGCUAUUAGUUUUCAGGAUUAACUAUAUGGAGCUCUAUGUAAACAUAUUGAAUAAUAGAUACAUACCUAUAAAAUUCAACAUUUUAUAUUUAUUUUUACAAAAGUUCUAAUAUUUUUAAAUCUACCUAGCUGCUAGAAUCCGUUAGAAAAAAUGUAGUUAAUCAUAGGUAAGAUACUUAAUUCUGAUUAAUGAAUAAGAUAAAUUAAUCUUCUUACCCCUCUUAUAUUAUUUGUGAUAGCAAAAAGGAAAGAGAAGAAUAUUUCUACAUAGUUCUAAUAGUUGGAGUUUUUGAAAGGAUAUAUUUGUAAUAGUAAAAAUAUUAUUUCAUUUAUCCUCUGUUAAAAAAUAAAUAGUGAUUCAACGGUAACAAACUAUAGAAACAAAUAUGAAUACAGGUAAAAUUUUAUAAAAAUAAACAUAAAAAAUUAAAUUUUAUAAAAAUAUAUAUUUAUUAUUUGAUAUACUU